RNAcentral lists this microRNA precursor (66 nucleotides) under Oryctolagus cuniculus (rabbit). RNAcentral's name for it is "microRNA ocu-mir-19b precursor (ocu-mir-19b-2)". Its record names the gene ocu-mir-19b-2. It matches the Rfam family "mir-19 microRNA precursor family", at positions 11 to 71 of the family's 79-position model. Rfam says of the family: The hairpin precursors (represented here) are predicted based on base pairing and cross-species conservation -- their extents are not known. The record is from miRBase by way of RNAcentral. Lineage: Eukaryota; Metazoa; Chordata; Mammalia; Lagomorpha; Leporidae.
AGUUUUGCAGGUUUGCAUUUCAGCGUAUACCUGUAUACAUGGCUGUGCAAAUCCAUGCAAAACUGA